UUCCGUCAGACUCCCGCUUGGAUCUCCAUAUUUCGGAUAUUUCCGUAUCCCUCUCGGAGGUACUCGGCAAGCGUUCGGCCUCCCCCUUCCCCCGGUAACGGUCGCUGGUGAGUUUAAAUGAGCCGGGGCUGGCGGGGCCGGAGCCGCUACGCGGGGGUGCCUGAGGCACUGCAGAAAGUGGGCCUGACCCUGAAGGAUGACGGUGCUGCAGGAACCCGUCCAGGCUGCUAUAUGGCAAGCACUAAACCACUAUGCUUACCGAGAUGCAGUUUUCCUCGCAGAACGACUGUAUGCAGAAGUACACUCAGAAGAAGCCUUGUUUUUACUGGCAACCUGUUAUUACCGCUCAGGAAAGGCAUACAAAGCAUAUAGACUCUUGAAAGGUCACAGUUGUACUACACCACAGUGUAAAUACCUGCUUGCAAAAUGUUGUGUUGAUCUCAGCAAGCUUGCAGAAGGGGAACAGAUCUUAUCUGGUGGAGUGUUUAAUAAGCAGAAAAGCCAUGAUGAUAUUGUUACUGAGUUUGGUGAUUCAGCCUGUUUUACUCUUUCACUGUUGGGACAUGUAUAUUGCAAGACAGACCGCCUUGCCAAAGGAUCAGAAUGUUACCAAAAGAGCCUUAGUUUGAAUCCUUUCCUCUGGUCUCCCUUUGAAUCAUUAUGUGAAAUAGGUGAAAAGCCAGAUCCUGACCAAACAUUUAAAUUAACAUCUAUACAGAACUUUAGCAACUGUCUGCCUAACUCUUGUACAACACUAGUAUCUAAUCAUAGUUUAUCUCAUAGACAGCCUGAGACCGUUCUUACAGAAACACCCCAGGACACAAUUGAGUUAAACAGACUGAACUUAGAAUCUUCCAAUUCAAAAUAUUCCUUGAAUACAGAUUCCUCUUACAUUGAUUCAGCUGUAAUUUCACCAGAUACUGUCCCUCUUGGAACAGGAACUUCUAUAUUAUCUAAACAGGUUCAAAAUAAACCAAAAACUGGUCGAAGUUUAUUAGGAGGACCAGCUGCCCUUAGCCCAUUAACCCCAAGUUUUGGGAUUUUGCCAUUAGAAACCCCAAGUCCUGGAGAUGGAUCCUAUUUACAAAACUACACUAAUACACCUUCUGUAAUUGACGUGCCAUCUACCGGAGCCCCUACCAAAAAGUCUGUUGCCAGAAUCGGCCAAACUGGAACAAAGUCUGUCUUCUCACAAAGUGGAAAUAGUCGGGAGGUUACUCCAAUUCUUGUUGCACAAACACAAAGUUCUGGUCCACAAACAAGUACAACACCUCAGGUAUUGAGUCCUACAAUUACAUCGCCCCCAAAUGCACUGCCACGAAGAAGUUCACGACUUUUUACCAGUGACAGCUCUACAACUAAGGAGAAUAGCAAAAAAUUAAAAAUGAAGUUUCCACCUAAAAUCCCAAACAGGAAAACAAAAAGUAAAACUAAUAAAGGAGGAAUAACUCAACCUAACAUAAAUGAUAGCCUGGAAAUUACAAAAUUGGACUCUUCCAUCAUUUCAGAAGGGAAAAUAUCCACAUUCACACCUCAGAUCCAGGCUUUUAAUCUACAAAAAGCAGCAGCAGAAGGUUUGAUGAGCCUUCUUCGUGAAAUGGGGAAAGGUUAUUUAGCUUUGUGUUCAUACAACUGCAAAGAAGCUAUAAAUAUUUUGAGCCACCUACCUUCUCACCACUACAAUACUGGUUGGGUAUUGUGCCAAAUCGGAAGAGCCUAUUUUGAACUUUCAGAAUACAUGCAAGCUGAAAGAAUAUUCUCAGAAGUUAGAAGAAUUGAGAAUUACAGAGUUGAAGGCAUGGAGAUCUACUCUACAACACUUUGGCAUCUUCAAAAAGAUGUUGCUCUAUCAGUUCUUUCAAAAGACUUAACAGACAUGGAUAAGAAUUCACCAGAGGCCUGGUGUGCUGCAGGGAACUGUUUCAGUCUGCAACGGGAACAUGAUAUUGCAAUUAAAUUCUUCCAGAGAGCAAUCCAGGUCGAUCCAAAUUAUGCUUAUGCCUAUACUCUAUUAGGGCAUGAGUUUGUGUUAACUGAAGAACUAGAUAAAGCAUUAGCUUGUUUUCGAAAUGCUAUCAGAGUAAAUCCUCGACAUUAUAAUGCAUGGUAUGGUUUAGGAAUGAUUUAUUACAAACAAGAAAAAUUCAGCCUUGCAGAAAUGCAUUUCCAGAAAGCACUUGAUAUCAAUCCUCAAAGUUCAGUUUUACUUUGCCACAUUGGAGUAGUUCAGCAUGCACUGAAAAAAUCUGAGAAGGCUUUGGAUACCCUAAACAAAGCCAUUGUUAUUGAUCCCAAGAACCCACUAUGCAAAUUUCACAGAGCCUCAGUUUUAUUUGCAAAUGAAAAAUAUAAGUCUGCUUUACAAGAACUUGAAGAAUUGAAACAGAUUGUUCCCAAAGAAUCUCUUGUUUACUUCUUAAUAGGAAAGUGCUGCUGUUUAUUUUUAGGUUUACAAGAAGUUAGGUCAAACGCACCUCGCCCUGAUGAAUUUCUCUUGGGCUAUGGAUUUAGAUCCUAAAGGAGCCAAUAACCAGAUUAAAGAGGCAAUUGAUAAGCGCUAUCUUCCAGAUGAUGAGGAACCUAUAACCCAAGAAGAACAGAUCAUGGGAACAGAUGAAUCCCAGGAGAGCAGCAUGACAGAUGCAGACGACACACAACUUCAUGCAGCUGAGAGUGAUGAAUUUUAACUUCUGGAAAUCAGACUUUUGCGACUGGACAUGUGACCAGUGCUGAUGUGUCCUUGUCCCUCCAUACACUGAGUCUUCACUCUUGAGCUGUCAGUGUCACCAUUUGUCACACCAUGAGUGUGCCACUUUUGUGGGACCCGACUGUACAAAGAAUGAAAGGCAGUGCAAUAUUUAGCUGCUAACAAGACUGGCUCUUUUACCAGUAUGAAUGACAAUUUAGGGGGGUAGGGUGGGAACUUUCUUUUUUCUUUAACCUCUUUUAGUUGCAAAGCUAUCAUGAGAGGAAGAGUUAUGUUUUAUCUUGAAGGAACCUUUAGAUAUGGAAAAUACUGAUGAACCAGCUUGGUCAUUUUUCCAGAAAUUUGUUUUUAUUUGGUUCUGUUCCUGAUAAACAGAGUGACUGACCUUCAUUUCUAGGUUAUUCAAGAAUGGUGUUAGCAAGUGCCAGAUGGAACAAUAAAAGACAUUGCCUAUAACAGAGUAACUUGAUUGCCAAGGAAUGUAAAUUACCUUAAACUUGGAGUGUCUCCUGUGAACAAAUAUAGUGGGCAUAUUCAGACUCAUAUGUAGGAAUCAAAUCUCCUUCCAUACAGUAUACACUUACUCUUGGCAAGAAUGCUUUAAUGUCUUACCAAGAAUUUUAAUUUUCUUCAUCUUGCUUCAAAGUGUUGAUCAUUGUUGUCUUGGUAUUGCAAACUUUAGAAUUGGUUCCUCCCAUAUUGCCUAGUCUCUUUGAAUUCUGUGGGAUCACCUUUAACAUUCAGAGAUUAUAGAGUGACUCCCCACUGAAAAGCCAAAAUAAGGCCCUUAAUAACCACUUUCGUUCACCGUCAGUAUGGUAACAUUACAGAGAGACUUUAAGAGAUCAUGAUAGCAAAAGCCUUAAUACAAUCAGAAUUGUACCAUGACCUCAAAUCCACAUUUGCUCAAGACAGUAUCCCUCUUGACUUAUAAAUGUUUAAACAGAGUGCAAGGUGUGGUUACCUUUGUUGAGGUUAUUUCCAUUCUUUUCACCUCUGUGCUCCUGGUUACUUUCAGUAGUAUGAGUCAUCAGAACUUUUAAUGAGAGUAAUUAAGUGUAGGAUAUUAGAGAUUUUUAACUUGGGGGAGAAAAAUUCGUAUGAAGGAGACAGGUUCUCUCUUGAGAUCAUUGUAGGUUGAUGUCUGGGAAAUGGCCACAAUUUUAAAGAUCUAAUUAUGCAUAUAAAAUGGGAAUUAUUGGAAUGUCACAAUAACAGAUUUAAACAGUCUUAAAUUGUGUAUCUCCUUUACUGUAAUGUAUUUAAAAUUUUAGAGAAACUUUAGUUGCUAACAUUUUAUUAAGUGCCAAUAUCAGAAUAUAAUGAAUUAUAGUUUCUUAUGAAUGACAGGCCUACAGUUAUUAUUUUGGAUUAUUUGAUGAAGGACAAACUUACCUACUGGUUACCUGUAUUUGUUAGUCAAGCUGUGAAAAUAUGGUGGAUUACAAAAGAUUUGAAGAAAACUUUUAGCCUUUAGACUCAGUAAUUUUCUGUCAUUUACUGUUGAUCUCAUCAAACAUGGAUUAGAUACCAUUAUAAAUUAAUUCAAGUCAAAGUCUUGGAUUAGGUAUUAGGUACCAGAGAGACAUUUAACAAAAUUUCCUACCUAAAUCUAUGUUUAUGUGCUGUCUAAAAAGUAAUAAUAAUUUAUAAAGAAAAGGAAAAGUUGGGAAUAAAUUUAUACCAUUAAAAAUUCCCAAAGGCUAGCACUUGGAUUCUAACAAAUAUUCCAUUUUAUUAUCCAUUAGUUCUGUAAUGUUUAAUUUUUUAUUCUUUUAUUUUUUUAAUAAAUCAUAAACCAGCUAUAUAACACUUACCAGAUCCAGAAUUUCAUAAAAAGCUUCAACCUGAGUUCUAUAUUAUAAAACCUGGAGAAAGCUAAUCUAAGAAUGUAAUUUGCUGAUGUAUAGUUAUCUUUUUGUAGUAGAAAUUUAUGUCCUGUGCCAGUGAGACUUUCUGGUACUGAUUCUAAGACCAAGGAUAAAAAGAUGCCACAGCAUGGCAAGGAGCUGGCUGAGGGACUUUCGGCCCACACUUGGCCUGAUUUAUUUCUCACCUAGUAAAUUUCUUGCUCUUUAUUUUUUCUCCCCCCCCCUUUUUCUUCUCUUUUUUUUUUCCCCCCUUUUUUUCUUUUUUUGCAUUGAAUGGGGAUCAGAAAAGAAGAAACAAAUUUUGGUCAGGCAAAAUGUUUGCUUCAGAUUUCAGAAGAUACUUUGAAGGAAAUUGAAGAUGCUAUGUGUACUUUGAUAUCUUUUUUUCUAUAAACUUUUCACACAAAACACACACCCACACAUACUUUUAGUCAGAAGUUACAGCAUUGAAUUUCCACCCCCCCAUGGAAAAGUUAUUACUCUGGGAUUUUAAAAGGUUGAAUUAUUUUUUCAAAAAAACAGUGGUAUUCAAAAAUAAUGAAAGGUGGCCCCUAUUUUCUGUAUUUCAUUACUUUAAAUUUUUUAUUUUUUCCAAGAACUGCAAGUAACAUUUUAAACCAUGCUGCUGUUGUAUCUUAAACAAAAACUCAGUGAUAACUAGUGUUUAGUCUAUUAAAAAUA
Heterocephalus glaber (naked mole-rat) is the source of this 5259-nucleotide RNA transcript. It is a transcript of the gene named cell division cycle 27, with no coding region annotated. NCBI's taxonomy places the organism in Eukaryota, Metazoa, Chordata, Mammalia, Rodentia, Bathyergidae. The record is from RefSeq and is a predicted model, not a curated record.